UACGUAGGGGGCGAGCGUUGUCCGGAUUCAUUGGGCGUAAAGAGCUCGUAGGCGGUUCGGUAAGUCAGGUGUGAAAACUCCAGGCUCAACUUGGAGACGCCACCUGAUACUGUCGUGACUAGAGUCCGGUAGGGGAGCAUGGAAUUCCUGGUGUAGCGGUGAAAUGCGCAGAUAUCAGGAGGAACAUCAGUGGCGAAAGCGACUUCCUGGACCAAUACUGACGCUCAUGUGCGAAAGCGUGGGGAGCAAACAGG
This 254-nucleotide ribosomal RNA is filed under the name uncultured bacterium. RNAcentral's name for it is "partial 16S ribosomal RNA". It matches the Rfam family "Bacterial small subunit ribosomal RNA", at positions 524 to 776 of the family's 1533-position model. The record is from RNAcentral.